AUUGAACGCUGGCGGCAGGCUUAACACAUGCAAGUCGAGCGGAGAUGAGGUGCUUGCACCUUAUCUUAGCGGCGGACGGGUGAGUAAUGCUUAGGAGUCUGCCUAUUAGUGGGGGACAACAUUCCGAAAGGAAUGCUAAUACCGCAUACGUCCUACGGGAGAAAGCAGGGGAUCUUCGGACCUUGCGCUAAUAGAUGAGCCUAAGUCGGAUUAGCUAGUUGGUGGGGUAAAGGCCUACCAAGGCGACGAUCUGUAGCGGGUCUGAGAGGAUGAUCCGCCACACUGGGACUGAGACACGGCCCAGACUCCUACGGGAGGCAGCAGUGGGGAAUAUUGGACAAUGGGGGAAACCCUGAUCCAGCCAUGCCGCGUGUGUGAAGAAGGCCUUAUGGUUGUAAAGCACUUUAAGCGAGGAGGAGGCUACUGAGACUAAUACUCUUGGAUAGUGGACGUUACUCGCAGAAUAAGCACCGGCUAACUCUGUGCCAGCCGCCGCUGUAA
Molecule: ribosomal RNA, 501 nt
Filed under: uncultured bacterium
Lineage: Bacteria
Description: partial 16S ribosomal RNA
Rfam family: Bacterial small subunit ribosomal RNA
Source: RNAcentral